CCGCAGCCAUGAGCGCAGCCUGAUGCAGCCACGCCGCGUGAGGGAUGAAGGCCUUAGGGUUGUAAAGCCCUGUCAGCUGGGAAGAUAAUGACGGGACCCGGAGAAGAAGCCCCGGCUAACUCCGUGCCCGCCGCCGCGGUAAUUAAGAA
Molecule: ribosomal RNA, 149 nt
Filed under: uncultured bacterium
Lineage: Bacteria
Description: partial 16S ribosomal RNA
Rfam family: Bacterial small subunit ribosomal RNA
Source: RNAcentral